This 547-nucleotide ribosomal RNA is filed under the name uncultured bacterium. RNAcentral's name for it is "bacterial SSU rRNA". It matches the Rfam family "Bacterial small subunit ribosomal RNA", at positions 355 to 895 of the family's 1533-position model. The record is from RNAcentral.
UAGGGAAUCUUCGGCAAUGGGGGCAACCCUGACCGAGCAACGCCGCGUGAGUGAAGAAGGUUUUCGGAUCGUAAAGCUCUGUUGUAAGAGAAGAACGAGUGUGAGAGUGGAAAGUUCACACUGUGACGGUAACUUACCAGAAAGGGACGGCUAACUACGUGCCAGCAGCCGCGGUAAUACGUAGGUCCCGAGCGUUAUCCGGAUUUAUUGGGCGUAAAGCGAGCGCAGGCGGUUAGAUAAGUCUGAAGUUAAAGGCUGUGGCUUAACCAUAGUACGCUUUGGAAACUGUUUAACUUGAGUGCAGAAGGGGAGAGUGGAAUUCCAUGUGUAGCGGUGAAAUGCGUAGAUAUAUGGAGGAACACCGGUGGCGAAAGCGGCUCUCUGGUCUGUAACUGACGCUGAGGCUCGAAAGCGUGGGGAGCAAACAGGAUUAGAUACCCUGGUAGUCCACGCCGUAACGAUGAGUGCUAGGUGUUGGGUCCUUUCCGGGACUCAGUGCCGCAGCUAACGCAUUAAGCACUCCGCCUGNNAGUACGACCGCAAGGUU